CACUUAUUGGUGUUGAUGUUGUGUGUGACUUGGUGGUAAAAUACCUUUUGCAUCAUGAUCUAUUGAGUAAUUCUAAAGGUUUAGUUGUCCGAAGGGUGGCGAUUUUUGGUGAACUAGCUGUAGGGCGUAGCAGUAAGCGGGUAGCUUUUGUUAAAGUUUGCUAAGGGAGUGAUAAGUUAUUCGUGCAUCUUUAUAUCUGAUUAGUAAGUUUUAUUUUCUAUAAAAACUAUCUGCUAAGAUGUUGAUAGUUACUUGAGAAACGGCGAUAGGAUGACAUCAAUCGGGGGAUAGUGGUUUCCUAGAUUAGAACGUUUGUUAUAAAUUAGUUGAUUGGGUUGUUAGUUUUCAGUUUAGGGCUUGCUAGAAAAAUAGUUUGUAAGUGAUUAUGAUAGAAUAAGUAGUUUAAAAUUGGUUUCUUUUUGUCUCGUGUUAUGCCAGUCUGUUUAUUAAAAACAUUUCCAUUAUAUAGUAUUGAUGGUAGUGCCUGCCCAAUGUUGUAAAAAAUUAAUGGCCGCAGUAUAUUGACUGUGCAAAGGUAGCAUAAUUAGUUGCCUCAUAAUUGGGGGAUUGUUUGAAUGGUUUGACUAGGUAUAUAUGUUGAAAUGGGAGUCUUGAAUGAAAUUGGUAUUGAGGUGCAGAACCCUCGUGAUAAAAAUAAGACGGAAAGACCCCGAGAUCUUAAACGGUUAAAAUGUUUGUUUGGGGCAAAAGCAAAUAAUUUAUAUGCUUUUUGAGCCUGACAGGGUUGUUGGGUUAAAGGUGAAAGUUACCUCGGGGAUAACUGGGUAAGAGGUGAUUAGAGAUCAUAUCGAUUCAUUUAGUUGCUACCUCGAUGUUGACUUAGGAGGGUGCAGAGGUGUAGUAGUUUCUGUUAGAGGUCUGUUCGACCUAUAGUUUCUUCCAUGAGUUGAGUUAAGACCGGCGUGAGCCAGGUCGGUUCUUAUCUAUUGUUCUAGUAGUAUAGUACGAAAGGAAUUACUAUUAUUUAGGUU
Molecule: ribosomal RNA, 992 nt
Filed under: Holostephanus sp. FJ-2023
Lineage: Eukaryota; Metazoa; Platyhelminthes; Trematoda; Diplostomida; Cyathocotylidae
Description: large subunit ribosomal RNA
Rfam family: Bacterial large subunit ribosomal RNA (bases 628-992)
Source: RNAcentral